UCAUGGCUCAGAUUGAACGCUGGCGGCAUGCUUUACACAUGCAAGUCGAACGGUAGACCCUUCGGGGGUGAGAGUGGCGAACGGGUGAGUAAUGCAUCGGAACGUGCCGUAGUCGUGGGGGAUAACGUAGCGAAAGUUACGCUAAUACCGCAUACGCACUGAGGUGGGAAAGCGGGGGACCGUAAGGCCUCGCGCGAUUGGAGCGGCCGAUGUCGGAUUAGCUAGUUGGUGAGGUAAAGGCUCACCAAGGCGACGAUCCGUAGCGGGUCUGAGAGGAUGAUCCGCCACACUGGGACUGAGACACGGCCCAGACUCCUACGGGAGGCAGCAGUGGGGAAUUUUGGACAAUGGGCGCAAGCCUGAUCCAGCCAUGCCGCGUGCGGGAAGAAGGCCUUCGGGUUGUAAACCGCUUUCGGACAGAAAGAAAUCGCAUGGACUAAUACUCUGUGUGGAUGACGGUACUGUAAGAAGAAGCACCGGCUAACUACGUG
RNAcentral lists this ribosomal RNA (491 nucleotides) under uncultured bacterium. RNAcentral's name for it is "bacterial SSU rRNA". It matches the Rfam family "Bacterial small subunit ribosomal RNA", at positions 17 to 507 of the family's 1533-position model. The record is from RNAcentral.